RNAcentral lists this transfer RNA (73 nucleotides) under Cordylochernes scorpioides. Its description in RNAcentral is "tRNA-Thr". It matches the Rfam family "tRNA". From Rfam's summary of the family: Transfer RNA (tRNA) molecules are approximately 80 nucleotides in length. Their secondary structure includes four short double-helical elements and three loops (D, anti-codon, and T loops). Further hydrogen bonds mediate the characteristic L-shaped molecular structure. tRNAs have two regions of fundamental functional importance: the anti-codon, which is responsible for specific mRNA codon recognition, and the 3' end, to which the tRNAs corresponding amino acid is attached (by aminoacyl-tRNA synthetases). tRNAs cope with the degeneracy of the genetic code in two manners: having more than one tRNA (with a specific anti-codon) for a particular amino acid; and 'wobble' base-pairing, i.e. permitting non-standard base-pairing at the 3rd anti-codon position. Lineage: Eukaryota; Metazoa; Arthropoda; Arachnida; Pseudoscorpiones; Chernetidae. The record is from RNAcentral.
UCCAGGGUAGCCUAGUGGACAUGGCAUCUGCCCGGUAAGCGGAACAUAGUGGGUUCGAUUCCCAUCCCUGGAC